GAUGAGGUGAGCUCUAUUAGUAGUGUCUUAUUUCCAUGACACAAUCAGGGUUAGUGGGAAGAAAUUAAUUCUAACUGUGUGUGUGUGUGUCUGGACGUGUUUAACUAUACUUGUGCGGACCAGAAGUCCCCACAAGAAUAGUAAACAACCAAAAAUGUACCAACUAGGGGACAUUUUGUUAGUCCCCAUAUGGUCAAAUGCUAUUUCUAGGGGUUUUAGGGUUACGGUUAGGUUCAGGAGCUAGAUUAGGUUUUGGGGUAAAGGUUAAAGUUUAUGGGUUCUGGAAAAUAGGACUUUGAGUGGGACUGAAUUGUGUGACCACACAAGUUCAGUUAUACAAGAAUGUGUGUGUAUGUACGUGCACACACUUGUGUCAAUUAAUUUAGUCUUAAACCUGUAAAACAAAGCAGGUUUAACAACAAGAUACACAUUUACACUACUUUUACUGAUAAUGCUCCAGAUUUUACAACAUUAGAUAACCAAAAUGAAUAACCUUUUCAAGUUCAGCAUAAUACAAAACAGUCAAACAAAUAGAAGCUACGCUCAACAUAAUUUCUAUGAGUUUUACAACACAUUACAAUUAUUUAAAACACCAAUGCAUGAAAUACACCAAUAAACAAAACUAAAAAUGAAAAAUUCACAAAAUAAUGCAUUUGAAUGACUUGGCAUUAGGAGAAGCUGCAUCAUGCACCACGUAAGAGCGAUGCAGGAUACUGUAGCGUGGACUCCAACAUAUAGUAGAAGACUAUGUUGAUCCAUGUCAUGAGUCCAUCUAUGUAAUGUUGUAAUGUUUUUGCACCAUGGAAUUUAGGGACCAAAAGUCUCUGAUAUCCCGGUCAAGUUUUUUAAAUGCAUGUACUGUGAGUACGUCUUUUUUUAACUGCCAAAUAAAACAAUUCAGUCUCAAAUGGCACCCUAUUCCAUAUACCGUGCACAAGUAGUGCUCUAUAUAGGUAAUAGUGUGCCAGUAGGGACACACCCUGUCAUUUACACAGUGGAUCUGGCAUCAAUGACAAUAGAGUAGCUGAGCAGCUGGUUGUACUCCUGGCCUCGUCCUCCUGGUACUGUCACUGCUGUCUUUCCUUUCCUCAGCUCUGGAGAGCACAGUUCCUGGGUCAGAGAGGUCAAGGGUGCCAGCGACUCCCGCUUCUUACAGGAGUUCAGUGACCAGAGAAGAUAGUAGACAGGGGUACAAAGCACAUUCAAAU
Molecule: long non-coding RNA, 1208 nt
Organism: Oncorhynchus tshawytscha (Chinook salmon)
Lineage: Eukaryota; Metazoa; Chordata; Actinopteri; Salmoniformes; Salmonidae
Source: Ensembl